This 464-nucleotide ribosomal RNA is filed under the name Vreelandella stevensii. Its description in RNAcentral is "partial 16S ribosomal RNA". It matches the Rfam family "Bacterial small subunit ribosomal RNA", at positions 338 to 795 of the family's 1533-position model. The record is from RNAcentral. Lineage: Bacteria; Pseudomonadati; Pseudomonadota; Gammaproteobacteria; Oceanospirillales; Halomonadaceae.
CCUAGGGUGGCUGCAGUGGGGAAUAUUGGACAAUGGGGGGAACCCUGAUCCAGCCAUGCCGCGUGUGUGAAGAAGGCCCUCGGGUUGUAAAGCACUUUCAGUGAGGAAGAACGCCUGGUGGUUCAUACCCAUCAGGAAAGACAUCACUCACAGAAGAAGCACCGGCUAACUCCGUGCCAGCAGCCGCGGUAAUACGGAGGGUGCGAGCGUUAAUCGGAAUUACUGGGCGUAAAGCGCGCGUAGGUGGCUUGAUAAGCCGGUUGUGAAAGCCCCGGGCUCAACCUGGGAACGGCAUCCGGAACUGUCAAGCUAGAGUGCAGGAGAGGAAGGUAGAAUUCCCGGUGUAGCGGUGAAAUGCGUAGAGAUCGGGAGGAAUACCAGUGGCGAAGGCGGCCUUCUGGACUGACACUGACACUGAGGUGCGAAAGCGUGGGUAGCAAACAGGAUUAGAUACCCUAGUAGUC